This 76-nucleotide transfer RNA is filed under the name Cyanobacteria bacterium HKST-UBA03. Its description in RNAcentral is "tRNA-His". It matches the Rfam family "tRNA". Rfam says of the family: Transfer RNA (tRNA) molecules are approximately 80 nucleotides in length. Their secondary structure includes four short double-helical elements and three loops (D, anti-codon, and T loops). The record is from RNAcentral. RNAcentral also lists the same sequence under 3 other names. Lineage: Bacteria; Bacillati; Cyanobacteriota.
GCGACUGUAGCCUAGUGGUUAAGGCCCCGGCUUGUGGUGCCGGUUAUCGGGGGUUCGAAUCCCCUCAGUCGCCCCA